RNAcentral lists this small RNA (110 nucleotides) under Chelonoidis abingdonii (Abingdon island giant tortoise). RNAcentral's name for it is "TUC338 (ENSCABG00000011476.1)". The record is from RNAcentral. Lineage: Eukaryota; Metazoa; Chordata; Testudines; Testudinidae.
UUCUAUUUCCCCACAGAUCAGCUACACCAUAGGCAGCAACAGCUUUCCCACACACUGCCCAGACAGUGUGCCUUGACCUGCCCUGGAGGGACCUUCCUAGGGCAAGAGAA